This 187-nucleotide ribosomal RNA is filed under the name uncultured bacterium. Its description in RNAcentral is "partial 16S ribosomal RNA". It matches the Rfam family "Bacterial small subunit ribosomal RNA", at positions 1314 to 1500 of the family's 1533-position model. The record is from RNAcentral.
GACUACACGAAGCUGGAAUCGCUAGUAAUCGCGGAUCAGCAUGCCGCGGUGAAUACGUUCCCGGGUCUUGUACACACCGCCCGUCAAACCAUGAGAGUUGGCAACACCCGAAGUCGGUAGUCUAACCGCAAGGAGGACGCCGCCGAAGGUGGGGUUGAUGAUUAGGGUUAAGUCGUAACAAGGUAAC